CAAGCGGUGGAGCAUGUGGUUUAAUUCGACGCAACGCGAAGAACCUUACCUGGGCUCGAACGGCUUUGGACGAUCUUUGGAAACAGAGAUUUUCCCGCAAGGGACUGAAGUCGAGGUGCUGCAUGGCUGUCGUCAGCUCGUGUCGUGAGAUGUUGGGUUGAGUCCCGCAACGAGCGCAACCCCUGUCCUGUGUUGCUAAUCCGCAAGGAUGCACUCUCAGGAGACCGCCAGCGAUAAGCUGGAGGAAGGUGGGGAUGACGUCAAGUCAUCAUGGCCUUUAUGUCCAGGGCUACACACGUGCUACAAUGGGCGGUACAGACCGCUGCAAACCCGCGAGGGGGAGCAAAUCGGAAAAAACCGUUCUCAGUUCGGAUUGCAGGCUGCAACUCGCCUGCAUGAAGCUGGAAUCGCUAGUAAUGGCAUAUCAGAACGAUGCCGUGAAUACGUUCCCGGGGCCUUGUACACACC
This 468-nucleotide ribosomal RNA is filed under the name uncultured bacterium. RNAcentral describes it as "bacterial SSU rRNA". It matches the Rfam family "Bacterial small subunit ribosomal RNA", at positions 926 to 1391 of the family's 1533-position model. The record is from RNAcentral.